RNAcentral lists this long non-coding RNA (200 nucleotides) under Arabidopsis lyrata. Its description in RNAcentral is "long non-coding RNA (ALYR_LNC000511)". The record is from RNAcentral. Lineage: Eukaryota; Viridiplantae; Streptophyta; Magnoliopsida; Brassicales; Brassicaceae.
GAUGAACCCAUGUCUUUUCCAUAACCAUUAUAUGUGCUUACCCAUAAAGAAAACAAAACAAACACAUAAGUAUAACACAAACACCAAACAAAUACCAAACAAACAACAAACACAUUCACAGCAACAGUUUAUUAAAACGAAAUAUCAAACAGCCAAUUCAGUCAACUCUUAAACAAAUCAAUCAAAUAUCAAGUUCAUUG